UGCUAAUACCGUAUAACAAUCAAAACCGCAUGGUUUUGAUUUGAAAGGCGCUUUCGGGUGUCGCUGAUGGAUGGACCCGCGGUGCAUUAGCUAGUUGGUGAGGUAACGGCUCACCAAGGCCACGAUGCAUAGCCGACCUGAGAGGGUGAUCGGCCACAUUGGGACUGAGACACGGCCCAAACUCCUACGGGAGGCAGCAGUAGGGAAUCUUCGGCAAUGGACGAAAGUCUGACCGAGCAACGCCGCGUGAGUGAAGAAGGUUUUCGGAUCGUAAAACUCUGUUGUUAGAGAAGAACAAGGAUGAGAGUAACUGUUCAUCCCUUGACGGUAUCUAACCAGAAAGCCACGGCUAACUACGUGCCAGCAGCCGCGGUAAUACGUAGGUGGCAAGCGUUGUCCGGAUUUAUUGGGCGUAAAGCGAGCGCAGGCGGUUUCUUAAGUCUGAUGUGAAAGCCCCCGGCUCAACCGGGGAGGGUCAUUGGAAACUGGGAGACUUGAGUGCAGAAGAGGAGAGUGGAAUUCCAUGUGUAGCGGUGAAAUGCGUAGAUAUAUGGAGGAACACCAGUGGCGAAGGCGGCUCUCUGGUCUGUAACUGACGCUGAGGCUCGAAAGCGUGGGGAGCAAACAGGAUUAGAUACCCUGGUAGUCCACGCCGUAAACGAUGAGUGCUAAGUGUUGGAGGGUUUCCGCCCUUCAGUGCUGCAGCUAACGCAUUAAGCACUCCGCCUGGGGAGUACGACCGCAAGGUUGAAACUCAAAGGAAUUGACGGGGGCCCGCACAAGCGGUGGAGCAUGUGGUUUAAUUCGAAGCAACGCGAAGAACCUUACCAGGUCUUGACAUCCUUUGACCACUCUAGAGAUAGAGCUUCCCCUUCGGGGGCAAAGUGACAGGUGGUGCAUGGUUGUCGUCAGCUCGUGUCGUGAGAUGUUGGGUUAAGUCCCGCAACGAGCGCAACCCUUAUUGUUAGUUGCCAUCAUUCAGUUGGCCACUCUAGCAAGACUGCCGGUGACAAACCGGAGGAAGGUGGGGAUGACGUCAAAU
RNAcentral lists this ribosomal RNA (1042 nucleotides) under Enterococcus faecium. Its description in RNAcentral is "bacterial SSU rRNA". It matches the Rfam family "Bacterial small subunit ribosomal RNA", at positions 161 to 1190 of the family's 1533-position model. The record is from RNAcentral. Lineage: Bacteria; Bacillati; Bacillota; Bacilli; Lactobacillales; Enterococcaceae.